AAGGACGAACGCUGGCGGCGUGCCUAAUACAUGCAAGUCGAACGGCUUUUCUAUGGAAGCUUGCUUCCACUGAGAAGAUAGUGGCGAACGGGUGAGUAACACGUGGGUAACCUGCCCAUAAGAGGGGGGAUAACAUCCGGAAACGGGUGCUAAUACCGCAUAGUUUUCUUGAUCGCAUGAUCGGGAAAGGAAAGACGGCCUUUGUGCUGUCGCUUAUGGAUGGACCCGCGGCGUAUUAGUUAGUUGGUGAGGUAACGGCUCACCAAGACGAUGAUACGUAGCCGACCUGAGAGGGUGAUCGGCCACAUUGGGACUGAGACACGGCCCAAACUCCUACGGGAGGCAGCAGUAGGGAAUCUUCCGCAAUGGACGAAAGUCUGACGGAGCAACGCCGCGUGAGUGAAAGAAGGUUUUCGGACUCGUAAAACUCUGUUGUCAGAGAAGAACAAGUUGGAGAGUAACUGCUCCAGCCUUGACGGUAUCUGACCAGAAAGCCACGGCUAACUACGUGCCAGCCGCGGC
Molecule: ribosomal RNA, 522 nt
Filed under: uncultured bacterium
Lineage: Bacteria
Description: bacterial SSU rRNA
Rfam family: Bacterial small subunit ribosomal RNA
Source: RNAcentral